Molecule: unclassified non-coding RNA, 236 nt
Filed under: fungal sp.
Lineage: Eukaryota; Fungi
Description: partial internal transcribed spacer region
Rfam family: Eukaryotic small subunit ribosomal RNA (bases 1-46)
Source: RNAcentral
AAGUCGUAACAAGGUUUCCGUAGGUGAACCUGCGGAAGGAUCAUUAACAGUGCUCUUUGUAUGCAAAUACAAAUCAUUAACAACCAUGUGUGAACCGUUUUGACUGCCCAAAUGUGCGGGUACCCUCUGGGGUAUGGCUGCACGUUUUUUACCACAACAAUACGUCCUUUAGUACUGAAUAGUAAAGCUUGGUUGAAAAACUUGCAAAACUUUUAGCAAUGGAUCUCUAGGCUCUU